Molecule: ribosomal RNA, 649 nt
Filed under: uncultured bacterium
Lineage: Bacteria
Description: partial 16S ribosomal RNA
Rfam family: Bacterial small subunit ribosomal RNA
Source: RNAcentral
GGCCGCGAAUUCGCCCUUAGGGUUUGAUCAUGGCUCAGAGUGAACGCUGGCGGUAGGCCUAACACAUGCAAGUCGAACGGCAGCACAGGAGAGCCUGCUCUCUGGGUGGCGAGUGGCGGACGGGUGAGGAAUACAUCGGAAUCUACUCUGUCGUGGGGGAUAACGUAGGGAAACUUACGCUAAUACCGCAUACGACCUACGGGUGAAAGCAGGGGACCUUCGGGCCUUGCGCGAUUGAAUGAGCCGAUGUCGGAUUAGCUAGUUGGCGGGGUAAAGGCCCACCAAGGCGACGAUCCGUAGCUGGUCUGAGAGGAUGAUCAGCCACACUGGAACUGAGACACGGUCCAGACUCCUACGGGAGGCAGCAGUGGGGAAUAUUGGACAGUGGGCGCAAGCCUGAUCCAGCCAUACCGCGUGGGUGAAGAAGGCCUUCGGGUUGUAAAGCCCUUUUGUUGGGAAAGAAAUCCAGCUGGCUAAUACCCGGUUGGGAUGACGGUACCCAAAGAAUAAGCACCGGCUAACUUCGUGCCAGCAGCCGCGGUAAUACGAAGGGUGCAAGCGUUACUCGGAAUUACUGGGCGUAAAGCGUGCGUAGGUGGUCGUUUAAGUGCGUUGUGAAAGCCCUGGGCUCAACCUGGGAACUGCGGUG